Molecule: ribosomal RNA, 395 nt
Filed under: uncultured bacterium
Lineage: Bacteria
Description: bacterial SSU rRNA
Rfam family: Bacterial small subunit ribosomal RNA
Source: RNAcentral
GACGAACGCUGGCGGCGUGCUUAACACAUGCAAGUCAAGGGGGCUCGCAAGAGCAACCGGCGAACGGGUGCGUAACACGUGAACAACCUGCCCUUGUGUGGGGGAUAGCCGGGCUAACGCCCGGGUAAUACCGCAUACGGUCUGCUGAGGGAGUCCUUGGCAGAGGAAAGCCUUCGGGCGCACGAGGAGGGGUUCGCGGCCUAUCAGCUAGUUGGUGCGGUCAUGGCGCACCAAGGCGACGACGGGUAGCUGGUCUGAGAGGAUGGCCAGCCACAUUGGGACUGAGAGACGGCCCAGACUCCUACGGGAGGCAGCAGUGGGGAAUCUUGCGCAAUGGCCGAAAGGCUGACGCAGCGACGCCGCGUGUGGGAGGACGCCUUUCGGGUGUAACCACU